AGCGAACGCUGGCGGCAGGCUUAACACAUGCAAGUCGAACGGGCACCUUCGGGUGUCAGUGGCAGACGGGUGAGUAACACGUGGGAACGUGCCCUCCGGUCCGGGAUAACUCAUGGAAACGUGAGCUAAUACCGGAUACGUGCUUUGGCAGAAAGGUUUACUGCCGGAGGAUCGGCCCGCGUCUGAUUAGCUAGUUGGUGGGGUAACGGCCUACCAAGGCGACGAUCAGUAGCUGGUCUGAGAGGAUGAUCAGCCACACUGGGACUGAGACACGGCCCAGACUCCUACGGGAGGCAGCAGUGGGGAAUAUUGGACAAUGGGCGCAAGCCUGAUCCAGCCAUGCCGCGUGAGUGAUGACGGCCUUAGGGUUGUAAAGCUCUUUUCUCCGGGACGAUAAUGACGGUACCGGAGGAAUAAGCCCCGGCUAACUUCGUGCCAGCCGCCGCCGUAAAAC
RNAcentral lists this ribosomal RNA (454 nucleotides) under uncultured bacterium. RNAcentral describes it as "bacterial SSU rRNA". It matches the Rfam family "Bacterial small subunit ribosomal RNA", at positions 29 to 526 of the family's 1533-position model. The record is from RNAcentral.